UAACAAAAAAUUUUUGGAAUAGUACUAUUAAUGAAAUUUAACGGAUUUGGCGGCAAGAUAGCCACUUAGAGGAACCUGCCCUGUAAACGAUGAACCACGAUUAACCUUACUUUUAUUAGAAUCCAGUUUGUAUACCGCUGUUGUCAGUUAGUUUCUUUAGAAAACUUUCGUACAUGAAAAGUUCAAGGACUUCAAGUAAAGGUGCAGCUUAUAUAAAAGAUAGAGGUGGGUUACAAUUAAAAGAAUAAUAUGGAUAAAGUAGAGAAGAAACUUUUGAAGGUGGAUUUAAUAGUAAAGUUUAAAAAGACUUGAUUAGAGCUCUAUCUUGUGUACACACCGCCCGUCGCUCCGGAAAAAA
Molecule: ribosomal RNA, 358 nt
Rfam family: Microsporidia small subunit ribosomal RNA